UGACCUCCUUUCCCCACCUCCUCUGUCCUAGAGCUUGCUGGGAAACCAGGAGGCCCGCGGGUGGGCGGAGGCCGCGAGGGUCGCGGCAGGCCCCGCCCAUCCCUCGGUCGCAGCGCGUCUUGGAGGCCCCCGGGGAGAGCUAGGGGAGAGUCGCUAAGUGCGGUUCCGGCUGUCGCAAACGCAGAAAUAGCCUUUCAGCUGUUUGCUGCCAAAGUGGCCUUUCAUUCAUUGCGUAGAUUCUCCCAGCCUGUAUGAUCAUACUUAGAGCCUGAAGUGCUGAAGUGCAGGUGUUCAAGAAGUUCUGCGUUUGAUCGUGAAGUGCCUAAUUAAGCAGCAGAGGCGGAAGGGAAAUGAAGGCUUCACCCCAGGCGGGGCUUGUAAACCAAUACGGAAAGGAGAGGCUUAAUGGAGUCUGAAAACCGUGGAAGAGUUUGACCAGUUAAAUGGGCUGGCUGGAGUAUCGGUGAUUUAGUUUAUUACUUAAGCUUGCACUUCUUUAAUCCUCCCUAGAAGGUGUAAGAUAUGGGGCGCCUGGGUGGCUCAGUCGGUGAAGCGUCUGCCUUCAGCUCAGGUCAUGAUCUUGAAGUCCUGGGAUCAAGCCCCACAUUGGGCUCCCCACUCAGCUGGGAGUCUGCUUCUCCAUCUGCCUCUCCCCCUGCUCAUCCUCUGCCUCUCCCUCUCAAAUAAAUAAAAUCUUUUAAAAAAUAAAUAAAAAAAUUUAAAAAUUUUGCCAGUAUAUCAGGAACUGCAUCCCUCUUCAGAUCCUGAAUUUGAUGUAUGAUAUUUUCAUGCAUCAUAAAUCAAUAAACAUCUAUGUAGUGAUCUUAUAUUUUAUACUGUUUUCAACUUUUGCUCUUCUUUAACCCUCCCUAGGAAUGAGAAGUGUGAGUUGAGUAAGA
This is a long non-coding RNA of Mirounga angustirostris (Northern elephant seal), 899 nucleotides long. RefSeq lists it as uncharacterized. The record is from RefSeq and is a predicted model, not a curated record. Lineage: Eukaryota; Metazoa; Chordata; Mammalia; Carnivora; Phocidae. The transcript has 3 exons.